GGUCGACGGAUCUUUCUCGAGAGAGAGAGAAACGUUCCCUUUCCAGUCGUCCCACUGAGAAGGCAUCGGACACCUGCGAAACUCGGCUGCUCGGUGAGAUAUUACUACCACACCGAGAAGCACGGGCCACGAAGGGCUUCCGCACGACUCGGGAUCGCUCUACUUCAAGGGACCGUUCGCUUUGCAGCAAAGGGACACCUCAUGGCCAAACCUCCGGGGAGGUUUGAUGUGAGAAACGACGCUCAGACAGACGUGCUCCUGGGAAUGCCCAAGAGCGCCAUUUGCGUUCAAAGAUUCGAUGAUUCACUAAAUUCUGCAAUUCACAUUACUUAUCGCAGUUUGCUGCGUUCUUCAUCGAUACACGAGCCAAGAGAUCCACCGUUUAAUGUUGUUCUCUUUUAAGUAACUCUCGUUCAGACGGAUCCCACCGAAGAAUCUAUACGUUAAGUCUUUGGGGUUUGAAACGUGGGUAAAAAACUAUUUCGGGGCUCGCCUAACACACCGAACUCCACCGUACCCACUGAAGAUAUAACGAUCGGGGAGA
This 544-nucleotide unclassified non-coding RNA is filed under the name Ctenophora sp. (in: diatoms). Its description in RNAcentral is "Ctenophora sp. (in: Bacillariophyta) sequence contains 18S rRNA gene, ITS1, 5.8S rRNA gene". The record is from RNAcentral. Lineage: Eukaryota; Bacillariophyta; Fragilariophyceae; Fragilariales; Fragilariaceae.